CCUACGGGUGGCAGCAGUAGGGAAUAUUGGACAAUGGGGGCAACCCUGAUCCAGCCAUGCCGCGUGUGUGAAGAAGGCCCUCGGGUUGUAAAGCACUUUCAGUGAGGAAGAACGCCUGGUGGUUAAUACCCAUCAGGAAAGACAUCACUCACAGAAGAAGCACCGGCUAACUCCGUGCCAGCAGCCGCGGUAAUACGGAGGGUGCGAGCGUUAAUCGGAAUUACUGGGCGUAAAGCGCGCGUAGGUGGCUUGAUAAGCCGGUUGUGAAAGCCCCGGGCUCAACCUGGGAACGGCAUCCGGAACUGUCAAGCUAGAGUGCAGGAGAGGAAGGUAGAAUUCCCGGUGUAGCGGUGAAAUGCGUAGAGAUCGGGAGGAAUACCAGUGGCGAAGGCGGCCUUCUGGACUGACACUGACACUGAGGUGCGAAAGCGUGGGUAGCAAACAGGAUUAGAUACCCUUGUAGUC
RNAcentral lists this ribosomal RNA (465 nucleotides) under Vreelandella stevensii. RNAcentral's name for it is "partial 16S ribosomal RNA". It matches the Rfam family "Bacterial small subunit ribosomal RNA", at positions 338 to 795 of the family's 1533-position model. Lineage: Bacteria; Pseudomonadati; Pseudomonadota; Gammaproteobacteria; Oceanospirillales; Halomonadaceae. The record is from RNAcentral.